CACUCUUCUCCACACCACCUUCUUCUUCUUCUUCCUAAUUCAUGAUCUCCAUGUUCCCUUCUCUCCAUUUUAUUCUUCUCUUGAUGUUGAUAUUGAUGUUGAUCAAAGGAUGGAAUCAUUGCCUCGAGGUCACUGUCUAUGCUCGUCGUCCUAGCCACCUCGUCACGUCGGACACACAACCGUGACUUUGGUGCCACCGUCCCAUCACCACCUCUUGACGUUGGGUUGUUGCAGCCCACCGGAGAGGCAUGCCGUCAUUGACUUAGUCGUCGCAAGUCACCGCCGUCAAGACCCGUGCAAGUAAAUCAUGAUCUCAUCACUUGCUUGCCCACCAAGUUUCUUAAGUUUGAUUGUUCACUUGUACCAAUUUCUGAGCCAACGUCAUGAGCCGUGAACCCAUGAGUAAAGGUUUAAGUGACUUUGUUUAUUUCUUGAGCAGGAAGUUACUGUAAACCCUAGCCCUAACUGUCUCUUUUUGUUUCUUUUUCCGAUCGUUUCCUUUAUGCGCUAAGGUGAAGCCGGUCUAAGCCUUUCCAAUCAUUGGUUUUUUUUAUGUUUCCGGUUCUCCGAUAUUGGCUAAGGUGAGGG
This 588-nucleotide long non-coding RNA is filed under the name Brassica rapa (field mustard). Its description in RNAcentral is "long non-coding RNA (BRAP_LNC008395)". Lineage: Eukaryota; Viridiplantae; Streptophyta; Magnoliopsida; Brassicales; Brassicaceae. The record is from RNAcentral.